RNAcentral lists this ribosomal RNA (382 nucleotides) under uncultured eukaryote. RNAcentral describes it as "partial 18S ribosomal RNA". It matches the Rfam family "Eukaryotic small subunit ribosomal RNA", at positions 592 to 976 of the family's 1831-position model. The record is from RNAcentral.
CAAUAGCGUAUAUUAAAGUUGUUGCAGUUAAAAAGCUCGUAGUUGGAUUUCUGGUUGAAGCGACCGGUCGGGCGUUGAUUCGUCUGCACUGGAGUCGGUUUUGGCCAUCCUCUAGGAAAGUGCGUCUGGUAUUAAUUUAUCGGGCGUAUGAUCCUGGUCUUUUACUGUGAAAAAAUUAGAGUGUUUAAAGCAGGCCUUCGCCUUGAAUACAUUAGCAUGGAAUAAUAAGAUAGGACUUUGGUCUAUUUUGUUGGUUUGCAGACCGAAGUAAUGAUUAAUAGGGAUAGUUGGGGGUAUUUAUAUUCCGAUGUCAGAGGUGAAAUUCUUAGAUUUUCGGAAGAUAAACUUAUGCGAAAGCAUUUACCAAGGAUGUUUUCAUUAA